This is a long non-coding RNA of Anopheles merus, 395 nucleotides long. RefSeq lists it as uncharacterized. NCBI's taxonomy places the organism in Eukaryota, Metazoa, Arthropoda, Insecta, Diptera, Culicidae. The transcript is spliced from 3 exons. The record is from RefSeq and is a predicted model, not a curated record.
GGAAACGAUGUGCUAAAGCAUGUAUCUGCCGAACGUACAGGUGCGAUGUUGCUGAAAUUCCUUCCCAUGAAUAGAGAAGAUUUCGACUUUUUGGUGGGGCUUGUUCGUCCUUUAAUCGAGCGCAUGGAUACAAACAUGCGGGAAGCGAUUACUAACCAGGAAUGGGUAUUAAUCGCGUUGCGUUAUAUGCCAACUGGCGAAACGUUUACAGGCCUGGCAGUGUAUGUUUUGUGUGUCUCGUCCAUGCAUCGCCCAGAUAGUAAUGGAAGUGUGUAAAUGCAUUCAAGAGGCUCUACGUGACUAUGUUAAGACGCCUUGUUCGCGACAUGAAUGGCUCGAUAUUUCUGCGCAAUUUGAACGACGCUGGAACUUUCCACAUCGACGGAGACAUCGAC